AGAAUGUUGUCGAAGCAAAGAAAAGAACUAAGUCCAGUUUAGUCAAAAGUUUUGCUUUCUCACUUGUUUUCUCUUCCAUCUCUUAUCUCUUAAUUAGGUAGCAACGAAAAGCAAUCCAGAUGUUUACAUGAUGCCACGGGUGGGGCGUGGAGGUAGGCUUGACCACUUCCUCAAAGAAAGAGAAAGUCCUUUUUACAGACACCACCCAUAAAACUCUUUAUGACUUUUGACCGGAAACAAUUUAAAACUUAUAAGAAGGACAUGGAGUUAGUGACCUGGUGUACCAUGCUCCAUACUGUAUCAAGGCCAGAGCCACCAGGUUCCAGAUGCUACCAUGAUGGCAACCUGACUUCCCUGGGCAGAUGACCCCACCAGUGUGUCCUGGAGCCCCACCUCCCCAGAGCCCUGCCCCUCUAGGGAAAGAGAGACAGUCUGAGAGUAUGGAUUGACCUGUCAAUGCCCAUGUUCAGUGGGGAAACAAUUACAGAAGCCAGACCUUCCACCUCUGCACCCCAUAAGGACCCUGGGUCCAUACUCUCAGAGGGAUAAGGAACAGGGAAGCUAUCAGCAGAGGGGAUGGGUUACAGAGUUCUGGUGGUGGGAAUUGUGUGGAGUUGUACCCCUCUUAUCCUAUAGCCUUGUCAAUAUUCCCAUAUUAUAAAUAAAAUUUAAAAAAGAAAUAAAAACAAGAUACUGAUUCAUUUCUCAAAAAAAGAUAUAGCUAAAUGAUAUAUUUAAUCUUUUUUAAUACUACAGUCUACAAUAAAAUGAAAAAAAAAACCCUUUAACUUAUAUGAUAUAGAAAAUCAGAGGUGGCCGGGCGGUAGAGCACUGGAUUAAGUGCACAUAGUGUUAAGUGCAAGGACCCACCUGAAGAUCUGGGUUUGAGACCUCGGCUCCCAUGCAAGGGGGUUUGUUUGGGUUGCUUCACAAGUAGUAAAGCAG
Erinaceus europaeus (western European hedgehog) is the source of this 945-nucleotide long non-coding RNA. RefSeq lists it as uncharacterized. NCBI's taxonomy places the organism in Eukaryota, Metazoa, Chordata, Mammalia, Eulipotyphla, Erinaceidae. The record is from RefSeq and is a predicted model, not a curated record. The transcript is spliced from 3 exons.